UACGGAGGAUCCAAGCGUUAUCCGGAAUCAUUGGGUUUAAAGGGUCCGUAGGCGGUUUAAUAAGUCAGUGGUGAAAUCUGGUCGCUCAAUGAUCAAACGGCCAUUGAUACUGUUAGACUUGAAUUAUUAGGAAGUAACUAGAAUAUGUAGUGUAGCGGUGAAAUGCUUAGAUAUUACAUGGAAUACCAAUUGCGAAGGCAGGUUACUACUAAUGGAUUGACGCUGAUGGACGAAAGCGUGGGGAGCGAACAGG
This 253-nucleotide ribosomal RNA is filed under the name uncultured bacterium. Its description in RNAcentral is "partial 16S ribosomal RNA". It matches the Rfam family "Bacterial small subunit ribosomal RNA", at positions 524 to 776 of the family's 1533-position model. The record is from RNAcentral.